AGCGUCAUUAAGACCACACUUGGGCUUCUGUCCAGCGUUGGGGAUCCGCCCAGGCGGUCCCUCAAAUAUACCGGCGGAGACGCGGUAGCCGCUCAGCGUAGUAACUUUUCUCGCUUUUGUCGGCGCCGCGGCCCCUGCCGUAAAACCCCCCAAUUCUUUUGGUUGACCUCGGAUCAGGUAGGAAUACCCGCUGAACUUAA
This 200-nucleotide unclassified non-coding RNA is filed under the name soil metagenome. RNAcentral describes it as "partial contains internal transcribed spacer 2 and large subunit ribosomal RNA". The record is from RNAcentral.